GAAACUUAGGAUAAUAUAAAACCAAAGGCCUUCAAA
This 36-nucleotide transfer RNA is filed under the name Melopsittacus undulatus (budgerigar). Its description in RNAcentral is "partial tRNA-Trp". Lineage: Eukaryota; Metazoa; Chordata; Aves; Psittaciformes; Psittaculidae. The record is from RNAcentral.